CCUACUAGUCCGAACAUAAAAAAUAAAACAUCCUAAAGUUAAAAUCAUACCAACCGCAAUAAUUAAUUGUAGAAACUAUCCAAGGAUAGUUUCUAUACAAAUAAUUAUAUACGAACCCAAUCACCAACCACAUGAAAAAAACACCCCAUGAUAUAAAACUAAAGUUUAAAUGAAGUGCCUGAGAAAGGGUUAUUUUGAUAGAAUAAAUCACGUGAAACCAUCACCUUCAUUG
Molecule: ribosomal RNA, 232 nt
Filed under: Pyrearinus termitilluminans (Brazilian larval click-beetle)
Lineage: Eukaryota; Metazoa; Arthropoda; Insecta; Coleoptera; Elateridae
Description: partial 12S ribosomal RNA
Source: RNAcentral